Long non-coding RNA from Aedes aegypti (yellow fever mosquito), 795 nucleotides. RefSeq lists it as uncharacterized. NCBI's taxonomy places the organism in Eukaryota, Metazoa, Arthropoda, Insecta, Diptera, Culicidae. The record is from RefSeq and is a predicted model, not a curated record. The transcript has 2 exons.
CUUCCUAAGUUUUGUCUGAAACUUCUCCAAAACAAAAAUUUUUCGUUGAAAAUGUCUACAAAAUAUAUAUCUGAAUUCUUCCUGAAAGUUAACCAGGAAUGUCUAUCUAUAUCCUAACAUUUGUCAGUUGUAAGUUGUAUGCGUGUAAUCGAAGAUGUACUAAAAGAUAUCGGCUCAUGAGAGAAAAUAUAAUUGAGUUCAGUCGAACUUCAGCCGCAGUUGUAAGCGGAGGCUAUUUAUAUCGGUGUACUGUUUAUUACAGCAGAAGUGAGAAAACCCCUUAAAAGAAUUAUAAAUCAAAAAUAAGUCUAAUCAGCAAGAUAAAAAAGUGGCGACGAGAAGUGAAACGGAUCCACGGAUAAUCAGCUCAGACGGAAAGUUUCCAGGGUGAGCUUGGUUCUCGAUCUGUAUUCAAAGUCAUUACGCUUUGUUCGCUAAUAAAUAGGAGACGACUAUCAACGCCGAACAAUAUUGAAAGGAUCGAUAGCGAGAAGAAGGCUGACGGUCGUAUACAGCAAGAGCGUGAGUGAUCAUCCCGAACAGUGAGAAGGCCAAACCACCGAGAACAGCAAAAGCGUGAGAGAUCACCUAGAGCAGGGAGAAGGCCAAACCGCCGUAAACAUCAAGAGCGUGAGUGACCAUCUAGACCAACUGAGUCGUGGGAAGAAGUCAGACGAUCGAGAAAAUCGUUGAGGCUUAGUGCAUGAGCGAGCAUCAGCGAGCGAGAAGUUAAUCAUCAGGGCGUGAGCAGUGCAUGUGGAACACCGAACGAAGAUUUGCAUGAUCGUUUGGAUU